This 506-nucleotide ribosomal RNA is filed under the name uncultured bacterium. Its description in RNAcentral is "bacterial SSU rRNA". It matches the Rfam family "Bacterial small subunit ribosomal RNA", at positions 8 to 518 of the family's 1533-position model. The record is from RNAcentral.
AGAAUUUGAUCUUGGUUCAGGAUGAACGCUGGCGGCGUGCUUAACACAUGCAAGUCGAACGAGGAAUGCUGAUGAAGUUUCGGAUGAAUUCGGUAUUCCGAGUGGCGGACGGGUGAGUAACGCGUGGGUAACCUGCCCUGUACAGGGGGAUAACAGUUGGAAACGACUGUUAAUACCGCAUAAGACCACAGUGCCGCAUGGCACAGGGGUAAAAACUCCGGUGGUACAGGAUGGACCCGCGUCCAAUUAGCUAGUUGGUGAGGUAACGGCCCACCAAGGCGACGAUUGGUAGCCGAUCUGAGAGGAUGACCGGCCACAUUGGGACUGAGACACGGCCCAAACUCCUACGGGAGGCAGCAGUGGGGAAUAUUGCACAAUGGGGGAAACCCUGAUGCAGCGACGCCGCGUGAGUGAUGAAGUAUUUCGGUAUGUAAAGCUCUAUCAGCAGGGAAGAAAAUGACGGUACCUGAGUAAGAAGCCCCGGCUAACUACGUGCCAGCCGCCGC